RNAcentral lists this ribosomal RNA (460 nucleotides) under Microcystis aeruginosa G-01. RNAcentral describes it as "bacterial SSU rRNA". It matches the Rfam family "Bacterial small subunit ribosomal RNA", at positions 339 to 814 of the family's 1533-position model. Lineage: Bacteria; Bacillati; Cyanobacteriota; Cyanophyceae; Chroococcales; Microcystaceae. The record is from RNAcentral.
CUACGGGAGGCAGCAGUGGGGAAUUUUCCGCAAUGGGCGAAAGCCUGACGGAGCAACGCCGCGUGAGGGAGGAAGGUCUUUGGAUUGUAAACCUCUUUUCUCAAGGAAGAAGUUCUGACGGUACUUGAGGAAUCAGCCUCGGCUAACUCCGUGCCAGCAGCCGCGGUAAUACGGGGGAGGCAAGCGUUAUCCGGAAUUAUUGGGCGUAAAGCGUCCGCAGGUGGUCAGCCAAGUCUGCCGUCAAAUCAGGUUGCUUAACGACCUAAAGGCGGUGGAAACUGGCAGACUAGAGAGCAGUAGGGGUAGCAGGAAUUCCCAGUGUAGCGGUGAAAUGCGUAGAGAUUGGGAAGAACAUCGGUGGCGAAAGCGUGCUACUGGGCUGUAUCUGACACUCAGGGACGAAAGCUAGGGGAGCGAAAGGGAUUAGAUACCCCUGUAGUCCUAGCCGUAAACGAUGGAU